GAUGAACGCUAGCGGCAGGCCUAAUACAUGCAAGGCGAGGGAGAAUGUUGGAUUCGUCUGACAUGAAACCGGCGCACGGGUGCGUAACACGUAUGCAACCUACCUUUAACUGGGGUAUAGCUCAGAGAAAUAGGAAUUAAUCCACCAUAAGACUAUGACAUGGCAUCAUGAUGUAGUAAAAGCUCAGGCGGUUAAGGAUGGGCAUGCGGUAUAUGAGCUAGUUGGUGAGGUAAUGGCUCACCACGGCUACGAUGUAUAGGGGGUCUGAGAGGAUGAUCCCUCACACUAGUACUGAGGCACGGACCACACUCCUACGGGAGGCAGCAGUAGAGAAUAGUGGUCAAUGGACGCAAGUCUGAACCAGCCAUGCCGCGUGAAGGAUGAAGGCCCUAUGGGUCGUAAACUUCUUUUAUUAGGGAAGAAAAAACGGGAUGCGUCCUGUACUGACGGUACUUAAUGAAUAAAGAUCGGCUAACUUCGUGCCAGCAGCCGCAGUAA
Molecule: ribosomal RNA, 498 nt
Filed under: uncultured bacterium
Lineage: Bacteria
Description: partial 16S ribosomal RNA
Rfam family: Bacterial small subunit ribosomal RNA
Source: RNAcentral